AGAGUUUGAUCCUGGCUCAGGAUGAACGCUGGCGGCGUGCUUAACACAUGCAAGUCGAACGAACCUUCGGGUUAGUGGCGGACGGGUGAGUAACGCGUGGGAAUCUGCCCUCAGGAGGGGGAUAACGGCUGGAAACGGCCGCUAAUACCCCAUAUGCCGAGAGGUGAAAUGAAUUUCGCCUGAGGAUGAGCCCGCGUCUGAUUAGCUAGUUGGUGAGGUAAGAGCUCACCAAGGCAUCGAUCAGUAGCUGGUCUGAGAGGAUGAUCAGCCACACUGGGACUGAGACACGGCCCAGACUCCUACGGGAGGCAGCAGUGGGGAAUUUUCCGCAAUGGGCGAAAGCCUGACGGAGCAACGCCGCGUGAGGGAUGAAGGCCUCUGGGCUGUAAACCUCUUUUCUCAAGGAAGAAGAUCUGACGGUACUUGAGGAAUAAGCCACGGCUAAUUCCGUGCCAGCAGCCGCGGUAAUACGGGAGUGGCAAGCGUUAUCCGGAAUUAUUGGGCGUAAAGCGUCCGCAGGCGGCCCUUCAAGUCUGCUGUUAAAAAGUGGAGCUUAACUCCAUCAUGGCAGUGGAAACUGUUGGGCUUGAGUGUGGUAGGGGCAGAGGGAAUUCCC
This 616-nucleotide ribosomal RNA is filed under the name uncultured cyanobacterium. RNAcentral's name for it is "bacterial SSU rRNA". It matches the Rfam family "Bacterial small subunit ribosomal RNA", at positions 8 to 671 of the family's 1533-position model. Lineage: Bacteria; Bacillati; Cyanobacteriota. The record is from RNAcentral.